This 492-nucleotide ribosomal RNA is filed under the name uncultured bacterium. Its description in RNAcentral is "partial 16S ribosomal RNA". It matches the Rfam family "Bacterial small subunit ribosomal RNA", at positions 29 to 507 of the family's 1533-position model. The record is from RNAcentral.
AUUGAACGCUGGCGGCAUGCUUUACACAUGCAAGUCGAACGGUAACAGGCCUUCGGGUGCUGACGAGCGGCGAACGGGGGGGUAAUGCAUAGGAACGUACCCAGAGGUGGGGGAUAACGCAGCGAAAGCUGUGCUAAUACCGCAUGUGAUCUGAGGAUGAAAGCGGGGGACCGAGCAGCAAUGUUUGGCCUCGCGCCUUUGGAGCGGCCGAUGUCGGAUUAGCUAGUUGGUGGGGUAAAGGCCUACCAAGGCGACGAUCCGUAGCUGGUCUGAGAGGACGACCAGCCACACUGGGACUGAGACACGGCCCAGACUCCUACGGGAGGCAGCAGUGGGGAAUUUUGGACAAUGGGCGCAAGCCUGAUCCAGCAAUGCCGCGUGCGGGAAGAAGGCCUUCGGGUUGUAAACCGCUUUUGGCAGGAACGAAACGGUGUCCGCUAAUACCGGGCGCUAAUGACGGUACCUGCAGAAUAAGCACCGGCUAACUACGUG